CAGCAGAGCCUGUGCAUGAGAAAGCUUCUGUGCUGGAUAUUGGGGAUGAUGAAAAUCCAGAGCUGCCCAGCUCUCCUCUGGCUGAGACAACGAGGGCUGAUCCCUUGGUCAUCGCGGUGAUCUCUGUCUUCAUUGUCAUGGUGGGCAUCCUAGGCCUGGUGGGCUUCCUGAGGUACCGCCAGCACAACAGCCGCAUGGAGUUUCGGCGCCUGCAGGACCUGCCUAUGGACGACAUGAUGGAGGACACCCCCCUCUCGCUCUACAGCUACUAGGCAGCCCGGCUGCCUCCCGCCCGGCACGCUGAACUUCCCAGAGAAAAAGGCCUCGAGGACUUGGUUCCAGACGAGCUGCUGAGGAACGAGUGGCUGUGAUUUGCACACGACUGAAAGAU
Non-coding RNA from Tinamus guttatus (white-throated tinamou), 391 nucleotides. The record is from RefSeq and is a predicted model, not a curated record. NCBI's taxonomy places the organism in Eukaryota, Metazoa, Chordata, Aves, Tinamiformes, Tinamidae.